CCAGCAAAUCCCGCCAACCUGAUAAAUCUCGCAAGAUACUCAGUUAUACUCUCAUCGUGCUUCUGCUCAAUAGAAUUAAACUCUCUCAUAUAACCAUCCUUCUCUGCCUUUGAGAAGUACUGCUCAUAAAACAAAUCUGUGAACCCCUGCCAAGUCAAUGCCUCAACAAAUGCAUCACCCCUAAUGGUCUUCACUCCUCUCCACC
RNAcentral lists this long non-coding RNA (205 nucleotides) under Daucus carota (carrot). RNAcentral describes it as "long non-coding RNA (DCAR_LNC007162)". The record is from RNAcentral. Lineage: Eukaryota; Viridiplantae; Streptophyta; Magnoliopsida; Apiales; Apiaceae.